GGUGGUAUGGUCUAGUGGUAUGACGUCACGUUGUGGAAACACAGAACCGUGCCAGCCUGGGUAUGUGCUGAAUCACUCCAAGUGAUUAUGAACGGUUAAAUCUAACAAUAUGUUAGGUUCGAUUCCCAGUACCGCCA
Non-coding RNA from Lophiostoma macrostomum CBS 122681, 137 nucleotides. The record is from the annotation of a GenBank genome assembly. NCBI's taxonomy places the organism in Eukaryota, Fungi, Ascomycota, Dothideomycetes, Pleosporales, Lophiostomataceae.